RNA transcript from Athalia rosae (coleseed sawfly), 3304 nucleotides. It is a transcript of the gene named ADP-ribosylhydrolase ARH3, with no coding region annotated. NCBI's taxonomy places the organism in Eukaryota, Metazoa, Arthropoda, Insecta, Hymenoptera, Athaliidae. The transcript has 7 exons. The record is from RefSeq and is a predicted model, not a curated record.
GGGAGUUGAAGGCAGCUAGCUGUCAACGAAAGCUGUCAUUUGAAAAACUGUCUGCUAGUAGAAGCUGUCACGAGCAUGUCACGUUGGUGCAGGUGCAUAGCGGAUCGUUGGGAACAUGUUAGGUAAAAUGGAUUCGCUUCUACUGAAAAGUAAAUUCAGAGGUACCAUGCUUGGUGCGUUGAUGGGCGACUGCCUCGGAUCUGCUUAUGAAGGCGAAGGCUUGUUCACUCCAGGAAUGAAGCUCGUCAUUCAGAGAUCAUUCGACAAACUCGAAGGGCCGUACUUUAAAGCUCCUCUCAUGCAGUUCACUGAUGAUUCUGCCAUGACUUCUGCAGUCGCUGAAUCUUUGAUCGAAUGUCAAGGCUUUGAUCAGGUCAAUAUGGCUAAGAAAUUUGUCACGUCAUAUUACCGUGAACCAAAACGGGGAUAUGGUGCUGGUGUACCCACAGUAUUCCAUAAACUACGAAACAACAAGUUCGUUGAUGUACUAGGGCCAGCGAGGGAGCAGUUCAACGGCCAAGGUUCCUUAGGCAAUGGUGGUGCCAUGAGAGUUGCUCCGGUUGCUCUUCUGUGCCACAAAAAUUAUAACCUGAUGGUAGAUACAGCAAGAAAGCAGGCCCAGAUCACACAUGCGCAUAAGAUUGGAAUUGACGGAGCUAUACUGCAGGCCUUAGCAGUUCAUCAAAGCCUUGGCUUAGAUUCCAGGGAGAAGUUAGAUGCGUGCAGGUUUACCGCUGAUUUGAUAGAUAAAAUGGACAAGAUAGAAGUUGAUGAAGAAGGCCUGGGUUUGGUAGAUCCAAUGCCCUACAAGACCCAAUUAAAAUUGGUGAGAGAUCUGAUUUGCAAAAUAGACGAAGCGCAUGAACAAAAGGUGGUUCAUCAACUAGGAACUGAAGUCUCUGCACUUUAUUCUGUACCUACCGCCAUUUACUGUUUUCUCCGAGCACAGCGGCCCAUUCAAGAUAUAGAAACGGAGAACCCAUUAAGAAGGACCAUACAAUACGCUCAAGAAAUGAGUGGGCGUUGGAACACGCUUUCAUCACUGAAGCCCGAAUGCAAAUACCUGUCAUGGUCGGACGUCGAAAUUCACAAACUUGUAUAUUUGUACAAAAUGUUCCCAUGUCUUUGGAGAAAAGAUAUUCCCCUCUAUAAUGACAAUGUAGCGCGUCACCUUGCAUACCGAAAUAUACAUCAAGCAUUGAGCAAGCCUGAUCUCACAUUCACAGGUGUUAUAAUGAAAAUACGAGAGAUUCGCCAUGAAUAUAUAAAUGAUCUAAAAAACGCCCUGGCUGCAAAACCUUCCGGGCACUGCUACCAACCUAGAUCUACCUGGUUUACAUUUUUACAUCAGUUUCUUUAUCCUUAUUUGGACACCAAUGAGUUAGUUCAACUACAUGUUAGUAUAGGCAUUGUAACCUGUGGUAUAUGCCAUAUUGAUGUUUUGUGAAUUGCUUCAUCUCAAUUAUCCGCUAGAUGCUUAAUGUGGUCAAAGAACACGGUCUAGAUGUUCUGACUUCUUUUUGCAGAAUAUUGAUCAUCACUCGGCUCAUAGUGUUAGCGACAAUGAUUGUCGAAGUGUCUCAGAGACAGUAAUUCGAGGCAAUGCAAAAGUACUAAACAAUAUUGAAGCAACACAUUAUUGCUCAUCCUAUGCAGAUCGACCUCUGAUGGAAGACUUUAGCAUGGCAUACCCGAAACUAUGUCUUCCCGCAAAUUCAUGUAUGGUAGUUAACGACCAUUGUCUUGAUUGGUUCCAUCCUGUCGAUUCAGAUUUAUGUUAUGAACAAACCACUACUCCAGGGUUAGAUAGUUCGACUUACUUGCUUUCACAUGGAUUCAAACAUCGGCCCCUGCCAUUAACGUCUUUGCCACUGAAUAUGUGCUAUCAAUCAUAUGAUUUCCAUCCAGUAAAUACUGCUAUGAGUUCGUUGAAACUAGGAAAGCGAUACAGUGAAUCCGAGAAUUCUGUGUCAUCAGAAAAAUCUUCCACAACCAUAGUUUGUGAAAGGCGAUCAGAUUCCACUUGCACACCUACAAAAAGCGUUGUAGAAUGUGGAGUGCAGUGGGAAAAUGUUAACACUCAGGUGAAUUUUUAGUCGUAUAAUUUACGUUCAAACAAACUCAAACUCUAUAUUUUCGAAGAAGAAUAGUUGGGCCGUAUCUUGCACCACGUCUCCAUUUGAACGAGAGACAAAGGAUUCAUCAAUUGCAGUAGAGCAUGAUGCAUACGAUCGCUUUGCUGAAACCAUUGCCUGCCAUCUCAGAACAAUGGAUGUAGAAACUGCUAUGCAAGCCCAGAAUCAAAUUCAUAAAAUUAUAACAGAUUAUCGGCUGCGAAAACCCGAAACAGUAUGUCCAAUAUAUGUAUAUUACGUAUACAUGGCUAUGGCGUAUAAAAAUAUUAAUGACAGACAGAAGCAAACUAAAAAUCAUUGAUGUUCGCGUGACGUUUUCAAGUAUCAACAUAUUUGACUGGAUAGCGAUUAUGUUGUAUCAUUUGUAUCCUUUUUUUUUCAUUUCUCACUUUAAUCGGUUCUGUCCAUUAAUCAGUAAAUCGUGUUAUCAGCAAACUAUAAGGCUGGUGAGACCAGAAGUUGAUAAAAGAAGAUCAGUACGCAAAGCCUUGCAUCGAGUUGCCAAAACCUGUCAUGUUUUAGACCAUCACCUAGUUGAACCCCGAGCUGUCGAAAAAACGCUUACAUCUCAAAAAAUCUCUUUGCCAUGGUCGACAAGACCCACCCUCAGCCCUACUCGGAAAAAAUUUCGAACCGGAAACCCUGUAUUCGGAGAAAAGAGCUGAUGGGGUGCUUCUAAUAGUGCACUAUAAGUGUAGAACACUUACUCUACCGUUAUCGAGAUAAUAACUGAUAAUGGCAUUUCCUAAGUAUCUUGGUAGACUUCGGAAUUGAAUAUCGUCCAGUAAAUACAAUUUAUCACCGAAAGGAGUUCCGGUUCCCGGAGCACUGUUAGCAAUGAAAUUCAUUUAAAAAUCAGUUGCGCAUUUUGGGGUAAACUGUCGAAACAAAAUCAUCAGCCCUGAGAUAUUCCUUAUGUUUGUACCAAGAUCGUGCGAAUUUCUGACAUACUAGAUGAUGUACGACCUCACGAUAUAUUACGUAUUUUCGAACGGGGUUUGCAUCGGUGAAUUGACCUGAAAUGUUUUUCAGAUCAGCUUGGGUGGUGAUACGGAUACAAUUGGAAGCAUGGCUGGAGCCGUUGCAGGUGCAUUUUAUGGGGAAGAGCUAAUCAAGCCAGAAGUCUUGCAGCACUGUGAGAACUCGACAGAAUUUAAAAAUCUUGCUGA